This is a small nucleolar RNA of Rattus norvegicus (Norway rat), 132 nucleotides long. Ensembl annotates it as small nucleolar RNA SNORA17. The record is from Ensembl. Lineage: Eukaryota; Metazoa; Chordata; Mammalia; Rodentia; Muridae.
AUUGCCCUUAGAGGCGUUGUAGGUAUGUCUGCUGUGUCACAUGUGCAUCUGUAGGUGGCAGGGAGAAGGAGGGCUGUGUCAACAUUCAGUGUUCUGACCUAUGAACAUCUUAAUGAUUAGUAGCCUAAUAUU